ACCUGUCAACGAGUCAGAGUCAUGGCGUUUUAUUAUUGAGGUGGCAGAGCAUGGAUUUUAAUUCAUCGUCUUUAAUGUGCCCGUUUGAUGGCGUUUAAUUAAUAUAAGGUAUUCUUUACGGCAGCUGCGUUGCUGCAGACUCCUCGAAGCCGGCUUGGGUGCUUUUGAAGUGCAGACACCGUGUCUCUAUAUGGUAUCGGAAGUGAUAUCGCAUGUGCCUCGUCGUCGGCGGCGGUGAAGAUGCCGGAGUCUUUCGCUGACUUCGUGGUAAAAACAUGACCAACCUGACAUUCCGACACGAUGGACGUUCAGGUGAUUCAAGGAUUCCUUGCACAUGGGGACCAGGCUGCACAUGCCAGGGCAUUACAGUACUUCGAGCAGCUGAAAAGCGCUCCAAAUGGCUGGCAGCUUUCCAUGCAGAUGCUCUUGCAGCCUUCCGUUCAGGAUGACUCAGUGAAGUUUUUCUGCUUGAGUGUCCUGGAACACUACAUAAAGACAGGGUAUGAGGCAGCUAAGGAGGGUGACCAACAAUCCAUGCGGACCUUUAUUAGCCAGUGGAUACAGAUGCAGGUAUACGCCCCGCUUCCAGAGAAGGUGUUCAUCCGCAACAAAGUGGCACAGCUAGUGUGCUGGGUGUUCCUCUGGGACUACCCAGCACGCUGGCCCAGCUUUUUUACCGACAUGCUCCAAACAUUGUCAUUGGGACCGCCUGCUGUGGAUGCUUAUCUGCGUGUUGUCCUCGCCAUCAAUAGUGAAAUCGCCGACUGUGAGAUACCGCGCACUGCCAAGGAACAAGACCGAAACAGAUUGCUGAAGGACAACAUCCGAGAAACACACAUUGUGGACAUGGUGAACUCCUGGUACACCAUCCUGACGACCCAGUGCCAAAGCCCUGCUGGUGUGGAGUUGUGUCGGCUGUGUCUGGAAGUGGUGGGCGCGUACGUGGCCUGGAUCGACAUUGGCCUGGUGGCCAACGACCGCUUUGUGGACGCACUGGUUCACUUUCUGUCCCUGCCAGCACUGCGAGAAUCGGCGUGCGACUGUGUGUGUGAGAUCCUGGCCAAGGGCAUGGACCCGGCCGACAAGGCGCGCCUCGUCGAGUCCCUCUCUAUGGUCCUCCAGAGGGCUGGUGUGCUCGCAGUAGCUGAGGGAGAAGAUGUGGACUUUCUCAUCAAGUUGGCAAAGCUUGUAAAUUCGAUGGGGAUCCAGCUGUUCGACUCGUAUUCAAAGUUGCAGAAGAAAGGCGAUGCUUCCAACCGGCAGCUGGUGCAGUCGGAGCUGGCCUCCAAGGUGCCCCUGAUGCUUCGGUUCCUGGGACACGAAGAUGACGACGUGUCCCAAGGGGUGGCUGAGUUUGCACGCGAAUACAUUCAAUACCUCAAGCAUGAGCCAGGGAACUACAAGCAGCCAGACAAGGCCAACAUUGAGGCGGUGUUGUACAUAGUAAUUAACAAAUACAAGUAUGACAGUUCUUAUUUAUUUGAACGUCAGGGUGAAGAUGAAGCCUUAUUUUUAGAAUACAGGAAAACACUAAAGGUGCUCUUCGACAAUGUUGCUCAGCUGGAUAAAGACAUGACCUUGUCCUUGACACAAGGCAUGAUAAGCACAACACUGCAGAAUUGGAGGAGCCUUCCAUUUCAAGAUGUGGAAGUUGCCAUCUCGUUCCUGUAUCUCCUUGGAGAGGCCAUUCCUGGAUUCCACAGUGCUCAGGUUAAUGCGGCUCCUGAUGCUCUUCCACCAGUUGUAGUCAUCAUGCGGCAGCUCAUCUCGAGUGGUGUAAGCACCUGUGGCCAUCCUGCAGUGACGUUGCAGUUCUUUGAGACCAUUGUACGAUACGAGAAGUUCUUCAGCCAGGAGCCAGAAAGCAUUCCAGACGUUCUUGUUGCCUUCAUGGAUGAAAGGGGCCUGCGCCACCCAAGUCCCAGCGUGCGCAGCCGGGUGUCCUACCUUUUUUCGAAGUUCAUCAAGUCGCACAAGGCGCACAUGUUGAACUUCACCGAGGACAUUCUGAAGCAGCUGCAGGAAUUGCUGGUGCUGUGCCCCACCGAGAAUGGGGUCACCAUGUCUUCACUCUUGUCACCCGAUGAUCAGCUGUACCUGUUUGAGGCGACUUCCAUGCUCAUAGUGUCGGGCCAGUUCAACGCUGAUAAGAAGCAGCUGCUCUUGAAGAACCAGCUGACUCCUGUGAUGCGCAAGUUCGAGACUCUGGCCCAGCGGUUGCCUCUUGAGCCUGCAGAGGAGAAGCGGCGGGACAUUGCAGAGUGCAUGAAUCAUGCCAUUGCAGUGACCAGUCGGACGAGCAAGGCAUUCUCAAAUCAGCAAACUAUGAAAGCUUGCAACUGUGUUUCCAUUUACCUGGAAGCACUUCAGGUGUUCCUACAGGCCUUGGAUCUUCCGUACGAGCAGCCAUUGCUCCAGGCUGGUGUGCGGCAGUUCCUUCACCGCAUGGUUGUGUGCCUCGAAGAGGAAGUGCUGCCACUUGUGCCUCGUGCCUGUGAGCAGCUUCUGCGCAACCCCGACGUACGCUCGGUGCAGGAGCUCAUACCACUCAUCAACCAGAUCGUCUGCAAGUUCAAGCUGUCUUGGGUGUUCCAGAAAGAGGUGGUGCCCUUCCUGCAACGGAUGUUCAUGCCACUGGUCGGGGUCAUCUUCGGUGCCUUGGCCGCGCCUGUGGAGCCCGGCGAUGAGCAGGCGCUGCGCGACCGGCAACUGCUGCAACGCGCUUACUUCCUCUUCGUGGCUGCCAUCAUCACCAACAACGUAGUUGAGGUGGUUGCUUCGCAAGAUGCACAAAGCCUGGAACAAGUCUUCACGACAAUCAUCCAGGGUGCUGUCGAAUUCCCUGACCCAGUGGCUCAGAAGACUUGCUUCACGAUCCUGCGGAAAAUGGUGGAGCUAUGGGGCGGACCAGAUGCUGAGCCCCACUUUGUAGACUUCGUGUACAAGUCGGUUGUGCCAGCCUGCUUCCAUGCCCCUCUCAAAGACACCUUUGACCUGACCGAUGCUCAGACGAUCCUGGCCUUAUCUGAAAGUGCUCUUUGCAUGAAGAUGAUCCUUGCCAAGCGGGGUGAGGAGUUCGUGGAGUAUUUGCGCACCCAGUACCUUCCCACCCUGCUGAGGCUGUCGCCACAGCAGAUCCAAGACUACUGCAUGCACCUGCAGGGUGAUCCCAAGGUGUUUAAGAACUACGUUAAGGUAUUCUUCCAAAGGCUGAGGACAUCUUGACAGCAGGGGAGGGCCUUCUUCCUCUUAGCAAAAUGACAAAUGACGAAAUUUAUUCUGCAGAUUGUGUACAGCAAUUAUCAAGGCCUAAAUAUGCAGGCUGAUAUCAAUUGGUGCAGCUUACGUGUUCCUGUUUGGCCAAUACCACAUUUUGCACAGCAGUGCAAGCGUAAACUUUUUUUGCCAAUGCCGUGGACUUCUUCUCCUGACUCGAUCAAUGGUCAUUGAAUGUUGUAACAGUUUACCAAGGUCAGUUUCUUGUCUCCGAAACACCACAACUACUUCAAAUUAGCUGACUUUAGGUCAACAUAAUACUAGUAACUCGCAGCUCAAAGUAGGUGUUAUGUCUAAUAAAACUGAACAGGCCUCGACAAGUGUGACUGCAGUUUUCUAUAACCAACAUGUGUGACAGCUGCUUUUCGAUCAUUGAA
Molecule: RNA transcript, 3653 nt
Organism: Dermacentor silvarum
Lineage: Eukaryota; Metazoa; Arthropoda; Arachnida; Ixodida; Ixodidae
Gene name: exportin-T
Exons: 27
Source: RefSeq, a predicted model, not a curated record